This 654-nucleotide ribosomal RNA is filed under the name uncultured bacterium. RNAcentral describes it as "bacterial SSU rRNA". It matches the Rfam family "Bacterial small subunit ribosomal RNA", at positions 8 to 655 of the family's 1533-position model. The record is from RNAcentral.
AGAGUUUGAUCCUGGCUCAGAUUGAACGCUGGCGGCAUGCCUUACACAUGCAAGUCGAACGGCAGCACGGACCUCGGUCUGGUGGCGAGUGGCGAACGGGUGAGUAAAGCAUCGGAACGUGCCCGAUCGUGGGGGAUAACGCAGCGAAAGCUGCGCUAAUACCGCAUAAGAUCUACGGAUGAAAGCGGGGGACUCGCAAGAGCCUCGCGCGAACGGAGCGGCCGAUGUCAGAUUAGGUAGUUGGUGGGGUAAAGGCCCACCAAGCCGACGAUCUGUAGCUGGUCUGAGAGGACGACCAGCCACACUGGGACUGAGACACGGCCCAGACUCCUACGGGAGGCAGCAGUGGGGAAUUUUGGACAAUGGGCGCAAGCCUGAUCCAGCCAUGCCGCGUGCAGGGAGAAGGCCUUCGGGUUGUAAACUGCUUUUGUACGGAGCGAAAAGGCCCCUACUAACACUGGGGGUCCAUGACGGUACCGUAAGAAUAAGCACCGGCUAACUACGUGCCAGCAGCCGCGGUAAUACGUAGGGUGCAAGCGUUAAUCGGAAUUACUGGGCGUAAAGCGUGCGCAGGCGGUUUUGUAAGACAGAGGUGAAAUCCCCGGGCUCAACCUGGGAACUGCCUUUGUGACUGCAAAGCUGGAGUGCGGCAGA